This is a long non-coding RNA of Acinonyx jubatus (cheetah), 1292 nucleotides long. RefSeq lists it as uncharacterized. NCBI's taxonomy places the organism in Eukaryota, Metazoa, Chordata, Mammalia, Carnivora, Felidae. The transcript has 3 exons. The record is from RefSeq and is a predicted model, not a curated record.
GAUCGCAAGGACUCCUUGAGAGAAGUGGGAAGGCUUGGGUGGGUUUUUUUUUUUUUGCCUGUUUGUUUUGUUUUUAGCUCAGCGCUUCUGAAACUGGAAGGUGCGCGCGCAUGACCUGAGGUGGGAUCUUGCUGAAACGCAGACCGAGGACCCCUGCGCCGGAUCCGCGUCAGGCGUGGUCACAACGGGGCCGUGUAGCUCCUGCACAGCCUCACCUCGCGGGGGCACCAGGCCCAGAGCCCCACUGCCGUGCCGAGAGGGCGAUCCUCUCCCUCCAACCGCAGGCCCAGGUGGAAGCCAAGCAGUUCCCACCAUCCUCUGCGUGAGGGAGAAGGGACGGCCUCGCGGGUGAGGCUUGGUUUUCUCCCUCCCUGGAGGAAACAAAAAUCAACUUAAAAAUAAGUUCAACAUCCAUUUCGGUAUGUGCCCCAGCCAUUCUGUGAAAUCCUCAGAAUUUGAUCAGCCCGUCAACCUCUCACUUAAUUACCUUUUCACCUCACACUUGCCUGACCCAAGAAAGUCUCCUGCCAUAGAGGGCUGCGAGGUGUUUUCAGAAGCUGGAAAGCAGCUGAGCACAGUGUCGGAUCCUCGCCCCCGCCCCGCUCGGGCCUCGGGUCAGGCCUCGCCUGGCAGGUGCACUCGUGGCCGCUCUGAAGUGACCGUCCGCUCCCAGGAGGCCUGCAGCUUCCAAGGGCGGUUGGCCGGCUACUGGGACUCACCCCGCAGCGCGUCCGGCUCCAAACGGAGCAGAGGAAACACCAUGUCCUCAAUGACUUAUCCUUGACUGACACCAUUUUUUUUCCCCCCUCAGCGGGGCUCUUCUUGUUAUGUGGUUCCUGCAAUAUCCUCUCCUCCCACACAUUUUUCCCCCCCUGUCAAAAAAGUUUCUAUUUUCUUCCUUGAAAUCUUUUUCCUGGUCUUUUUUUUUUUUUUUAAUCUCGCUUUCCAGCCUUCCUUUAAUGAGGUCAAAGACUACAGACAGACCUAUAGAUUUUGGCUUCAUCUGAGGACACGGAAUUCAAACAUCCAGGUGGAGAAACCAAGGCUUAAAGAGAUCAAGAGGCUGCCCACACUUACACAGCUGCUAAGGGACAAGGAACUUCGUGUUCUUCCUGUCACAGGUAUUGACGUGUCCCUGAGGGUUUCUCAGCCUCCUGAUGACCCCGGCAUGGCAUACCCGAAGCCUCAGUUUCCUCCUCUGCAAAAUGGAGGCAAUAAUGGUAUCUACCUUAUAGGAAUCAAUGAGAAACAUUUGGCCCAGCAUAUGACUCAUAAUAAACAUUUAAUUAUUA